CGAUCAAACUCGUUAUUUAAAAGAUGACGAGCUGAUGUAGCGAAAGAGGAAGGGACGGCUAACUCUGUGCCAGCAGCCGCGGUAAUACAGAGGUCCAAGCGUUGUUCGGAUUCACUGGGCGUAAAGGGUGCGUAGGUGGUGGGGUAAGUCGGAUGUGAAAGCUCGGAGCUCAACUCCGAAAUGGCAUUGGAAACUACCCUGCUAGAGGAUUGGAGGGGGGACUGGAAUACUUGGUGUAGCAGUGAAAUGCGUAGAUAUCAAGUGGAACACCAGUGGCGAAGGCGAGUCCCUGGACAAUACCUGACACUGAGGCACGAAAGCUAGGGGAGCAAACAGGAUUAGAUACCCUGGUAGUCCUAGCCGUAAACGGUGCACGUUUGCUGUAAAAGGAAUCGACCCCUUUUGUGGCGUAGCUAACGCGUUAAACGUGCCGCCUGGGAAGUACGGUCGCAAGAUUAAAACUCAAAGAAAUUGACGGGGGCCUGCACAAGCGGUGGAGUAUGUGGCUCAAUUCGAUGCAACGCGAAGAACCUUACCUGGCCUUGACAUGCAUAUAGUAGAAGGGUGAAAGCCUGACGAGGUAGCAAUACCAGUAUGCACAGGUGCUGCAUGGCUGUCGUCAGCUCGUGUCGUGAGAUGUUGGGUUAAGUCCCGCAACGAGCGCAACCCCUGUGUCCUGUUGCCACCCGGCCGAGAGGCUGGAGCACUCUGGACAGACUGCCUCGCUUAAACGAGGAGGAAGGUGGGGAUGACGUCAAGUCAGUAUGGCCCUUACGGCCAGGGCUGCACACGUACUACAAUGCCCGGCACAAAGGGAAGCAAGACCGCAAGGUGGAGCAAAUCCCCAAAAACCGGGCCCAGUUCAGAUUGUCGUCUGCAACUCGACGACAUGAAGUUGGAAUCGCUAGUAAUGGCGCAUCAGCUACGGCGCCGUGAAUACGUUCCCAGGCCUUGUACACACCGCCCGUCACAUCAUGAAAGCCGUUUGUACCCGAAGUCACUGUGCCAACCGCAAGGGGGCAGGUGCCGAAGGUAGGA
RNAcentral lists this ribosomal RNA (1038 nucleotides) under uncultured bacterium. Its description in RNAcentral is "bacterial SSU rRNA". It matches the Rfam family "Bacterial small subunit ribosomal RNA", at positions 443 to 1467 of the family's 1533-position model. The record is from RNAcentral.